This 211-nucleotide long non-coding RNA is filed under the name Elaeis guineensis (African oil palm). Its description in RNAcentral is "long non-coding RNA (EGUI_LNC007073)". Lineage: Eukaryota; Viridiplantae; Streptophyta; Magnoliopsida; Arecales; Arecaceae. The record is from RNAcentral.
GCACAGCAAAAUAUCUUUCAUAUUAGCUUGUGAUUAGGCUAUCUUUGGUUCAGUAGUUUAAAGGGACAUAGCAGCAUAGUAUAGCACAUCAAAAUAUCUUUUAUAUUAGCUUGUGAUUAGGCUAUCUUUGGUUCAGUAGUUUAAAGAAGAAGGAUCAUCGUACUUAGAUGAAGAGUAAGAUUUUCAUCAUAACAAAAAAGUGGUAGAAGCU